Chelonia mydas (Green sea turtle) is the source of this 211-nucleotide long non-coding RNA. RefSeq lists it as uncharacterized. The transcript is spliced from 3 exons. The record is from RefSeq and is a predicted model, not a curated record. Lineage: Eukaryota; Metazoa; Chordata; Testudines; Cheloniidae.
GAUGUUGCACUCCAUAUGUUUUAUGAAAAUAUGCUUGGAAUGUGGAUAUUAUGGAAUAUUCUUUAUGCAAAAGGUCCUUUGUAAGGUUUCAUUACAAAGCUUAUAAUCUACUAAGUGUGUUCAUCCUAUUUGUAUGUAUAUAUCAUUCUUGUAUCUAAAACUAGAAAUAUGAACAAAAAGAAAAAGGAGGACUUGUGGCAUCUUAGAGACU